GUUUUGUUUAAUUCAACCUCAUAUUUUUAUUCUUUAAUUAAUUUACUUUUACUUGAACCAUCAUAAUUUACUUAUUAUUUUAUUAACUUAAUUUUUAUUUUUUUAGUACCGCAAGGAAAUAUUUCUUAAUUUUCUAAAAGUCUAGAUUUAUUUUUAGUACCUUUUGCAUAAUGGCUUAGCAAUAUUUAUGAUAAUUUCUCUAUCCCGAAAAUUUAGUGAGCUGAUUUCAAUUUGCAAUGCUUUAUCAGUGCCCACUGCCUUCUGUUGCAAAACUUCCAGAAAAAUUCAAAUCAGAGGCUACAUACCACCCGCACAAAUUAAUAGCUGGUUUCCCGAUAAAUCUAUUUAAGUAGAUUAUUUACAUACUCUAUCUAUGUGACUUUUUAAAUAAUAGAGGAUAAGCUCUAUUCUCCAAAUUCAAUUUUAUUUUACAUCAUCUUUAUUUAAGUAGGCUUAAAAUUAGCCACCUUUAAAAACUUGUUAUAAAUUAUUUAUUAAUCUCUUAACUUAUUAUAUUUCCUCUUAUGUACACUGUAUCGAGAAAAUUUUUUAAAUAAUAUUCUCUAAAUUUUUAUUCUGCUAAGAUUAGUAUUUUUAAUUUAUUUAUUACUAUUUAAAUUUUAAACUAUUACUUUAAAGGAACUCGGCAAAUCCGUGGCCUCGACUGUUUAACAAAAACAUUGCCUUUUGUCUAAAUAUAUAAAAGGUUCAUCCUGCCCAGUGACAAAUUUUUUGUUCAACGGCCGCGGUACCCUGACCGUGCAAAGGUAGCAUAAUCAUUCGCCUUUUAAUUGAAGGCUAGUAUGAAUGGAUAAACGAAGGCCCAUCUGUCUCUAAAGUAAUAAUCAUAAAUUAUCCUUCAGGUGAAGAGACCUGAAUAUAAAAAAAGGACAAGAAGACCCUGUUGAGCUUUAUUUUUAUUUAUUAAUUUACAACAGCUUUUAAGUACACACUAUUAAUAUACAAAAUUCAGUUGGGGCGACUAGGGAACAUUUAAAACUUCCCUUUAAUUCUAAGAUUACCAAAUCUUUAUUCUGAUCCAAACAACUUGAUCAAAGAAUCGAGCUACCACAGGGAUAACAGGCUAAUCCUCCUUAAGAGCCCAUAUUGACAGGAGGGAUUGGCACCUCGAUGUUGGCUUAGGGCCCCCAAUAAGCGCAGCAGCUUUUAAUGGUAGGUUUGUUCAACCUUUAAAGCCCUACAUGAGCUGAGUUCAGACCGGCGUAAGCCAGGUUAGUUUCUAUCCUUUUUCAUUUAAAGACUCUCUCAUUAGUACGAAAGGACCAUGUUACAGAUAAAUUAUUUAAACUCAAUUUGUACUCAAAUAAUU
RNAcentral lists this ribosomal RNA (1330 nucleotides) under Travisia sanrikuensis. Its description in RNAcentral is "16S ribosomal RNA". It matches the Rfam family "Bacterial large subunit ribosomal RNA", at positions 533 to 2781 of the family's 2925-position model. The record is from RNAcentral. Lineage: Eukaryota; Metazoa; Annelida; Polychaeta; Opheliidae.